This is a long non-coding RNA of Carya illinoinensis, 2252 nucleotides long. RefSeq lists it as uncharacterized. The record is from RefSeq and is a predicted model, not a curated record. The transcript has 2 exons. Lineage: Eukaryota; Viridiplantae; Streptophyta; Magnoliopsida; Fagales; Juglandaceae.
CUGUUGCGGAACAGGUGCGAAACCGGCUGACGUGUACUGACACGUCAGCUAAUAUUUUAAUAUUAAAAAAAAAAAAAAAACAAAUGACAAAAGCCGAAAAAGUGGAGGAAAAUCAAAUAAGAACUACGUUGCAGAGUGACUCACGCGACCUGAACCCAUUUUUGCCGAGCUCUGAUUCUCUUCCGUCGGUGGUUGCAGCCGUGGGUUGUUGCGGUCGCCGUUAGUCACGCAUUCCGAUCUGCAGAUCUGAGCCGCAGCCACUAUCGUCGACGUGGGUUGGAAGCAGGUUUCCAGAUUUGAUGUAGUUUUGCUUCUCGCAUUGCCACGGUUUGAGUAUUUCUUUUCUUCUCUGCUUACUGUUGCUAAUUUAUCAAAGUCCUCUUAGCAAACACGAUUUGACAAGAAAAGCUUCCAUUAAUUAAUCGAUGGUUUAUACAUAUAUGAGCUACACUUGAACACAGUAGUCUUCUGGUCGACACUUUGUUAUACAUAAUCACUAACAAGUGGAUUAGUCCAAUUCCAUUCAUAACAUUUAGGGGACAGAAGCUGAAAUAUACUAUAUAUAUAUAUACACUAUAUAUAUAUACACACAAUUUCUAACGGCACAAGCUGAAAUUACUUGAGAUUGGCUAAAUGGAACACCCAAAAAGGAAACAGUGAAAAUGUCUAAAAUUGCUUCUAAAGCUUUUGCAGGACAGUAGUGGAAGAACAUAGUAGUCUUCUGGUCGACACUUUGUAUACAUAAUCACUAAGAAGUGGAUUAGUCCAAUUCCAUUCAUAACAUUUAGGGGACAGAAGCUGAAAUAUACUAUAUAUAUAUGCACACAAUUUCUAACGGCACAAGCUGAAAUUACUUGAGAUUGGCUAAAUGGAACACCCAAAAAGGAAACAGUGAAAAUGUCUAAAAUUGCUUCUAAAGCAUUUGCAGGACAGUAGUUGAAGAAAAAAACAUAUAUAUUAUAAAAGAAGAGAAAAGAAUGAUAAAAAGAAGACAAGAUGUUGUGAAUCCUUUUAUUAAAAUAAUCAAAAUGCCAAAGUGAGUGAAAUGAGAGGAAAUGAAAAGGUUCAUUUUGAAUAAGAAGUAAAGAAUUUCAAAAAAUUGAUUUUCGACCCUUAAUCCAAUUUAUUUUGAAAAAAAAAAAAGCAAUUUACUUUGAGUUAUGAUAUAUAUUUAUAUUUAUAUAAGUAUAUAUUUGAGUUAUAUUUAUUUUGAGUUAUGAUUUCCAAGAAGCAUAUCAGAUGCUGACAUUAGUGGAACCCAGCCUUGAGAAACAGUAAUUCAAACUCAAGAAAGUAUGGAUCACAACCGCUGCACGUUGAGUUUGAUGGAUCACAACCACGGUAAUGGUAUGAUUAUCAUGGUUUUUUUUUUAUAAUAUUCUUCUUCUUCUUCUUUUUCUUCUAUAUUGAAAUUGAAGGAUGCCUUCCUUUUAUGUCAAUUACAUUUGUUUGAGAAGCAUUUGAGUAGUUUGAAGAUGAAAUUAAAAAAAAAAAAAAAAAGGACGUACUUGAGGUAUGUGACUAUUACUUGUAAGGAAAAAUAUCUAAAUGUUCAAUCUGGAUCUGAUAGUAUUUUCCAGGUAAUGGUCCUUCCAAGUUCCAUGUAGCUAUAUAUGUAAGCUAUUGAUUGAAGGAGGAUUGAACUUAAAAUAAUUAAAAGUUUUGGAAAUAUUCAAUUUGUCGAAAAUAUUUAUAUCACUUGGAACGACAGUCUAAUUUGGCUUUGGCUUGAUAGGAAUUAUGGAAACUGAUGCUAUCAUUCUGGGUUACAAGCAGUUUUGAGGAAUUUUAUUUCCAAAGUCUCGUACAGCUGGGAGUUACAAGCAGUUUUGAGAAUCAAAAUAUGUAUAAAACAGUCCAAAGAAUUAUGGCUAUGUAUAUGACCUGUAUUCUGGUGUAUGUAGAAUUAUGGCAGUCUUAGAAUUUGACUUUAGGUUCAUAUAGCGUGAAAAAACAUGUCCAGGACACUGUAAAUGAUUACAUGGGAAAAGUGUUUUCGGCUUUGAAGUAUGUGACUCUCUAAAAUGUAAUGGUUAUGUGCAUUUUUCUUUUGGCUGGGAGUUACAAGCAGUUUUGGGGAUCAAAAUAUGUAUAAAAACAGUCCCAAGAAUUAUGGCUAUGUAUAUGACCUGUAUUAUGAUGUAUGUUGAAUUAUGGCAGUCUUAGAAUUUGACUUUAGGUUCAUAUAGCGUGAAGAAACAUGUCUAGGACACUGUAAAUGAUUACAUGGGGAAAGUGUUUUUGGCUUUGAA